RNAcentral lists this long non-coding RNA (311 nucleotides) under Daucus carota (carrot). RNAcentral's name for it is "long non-coding RNA (DCAR_LNC005667)". Lineage: Eukaryota; Viridiplantae; Streptophyta; Magnoliopsida; Apiales; Apiaceae. The record is from RNAcentral.
GCUCUCCGGGUAGGGUAAAUAUGACUUCGAGCAAAAGGACUUGGAGUCCUCCUCCGAGACAAUCAGGAGUAUAUACCCCGCUAACAGCCUCAGCUGAACACGUCUAUGCGAUGACCAAGGAUAAGGUGCCGUUCCAGAAACCUCAACCUAUUCCCCAACAUAUAGCCAAAGACAAAAAGAAGUAUUGUGACUUCCACGAAUCAGCAGGACAUAGCACCUCCGAGUGUCGGCAUCUGAAAGAGGAAAUCGAAUAUUUACUCAAAGAAGGAUACCUAACGGAAUGGGUAAAAAAGUACAGGACAGACCACCCU